ACAGUACAAACUGAACAGGCAUUAUCUUUGGGUAUAAUGCCGGGCUACAGUAUUUGUAGCAACAGAUGGAGCUUUAUACAUCUGUGGGACAGUA
RNAcentral lists this non-coding RNA (94 nucleotides) under Sphaerochaeta pleomorpha str. Grapes. RNAcentral describes it as "Spirochaeta sp. Grapes NiCo (Nickel/Cobalt) riboswitch aptamer". It matches the Rfam family "NiCo (Nickel/Cobalt) riboswitch aptamer". The record is from Rfam by way of RNAcentral. Lineage: Bacteria; Pseudomonadati; Spirochaetota; Spirochaetia; Spirochaetales; Sphaerochaetaceae. RNAcentral also lists the same sequence under 1 other name.